This 231-nucleotide ribosomal RNA is filed under the name uncultured bacterium. RNAcentral describes it as "partial 16S ribosomal RNA". It matches the Rfam family "Bacterial small subunit ribosomal RNA", at positions 118 to 348 of the family's 1533-position model. The record is from RNAcentral.
UGAGGAACAUGACCUUCGGCGGGGGAUAGCCGGCCCAACGGCCGGGUAAUACCGCGUACGACGGUUGGGGCGCAUGCCCUGGCCGUGAAAGCAGCAAUGCGCCGAUGGAGUGCCUCGCGGCCUAUCAGCUUGUUGGCGGGGUAAUGGCCCACCAAGGCGACGACGGGUAGCUGGUCUGAGAGGAUGAUCAGCCACAUUGGGACUGAGACACGGCCCAGACUCCGUAGGAGG